Molecule: ribosomal RNA, 655 nt
Filed under: Haploporus sp. 3 LLS-2016
Lineage: Eukaryota; Fungi; Basidiomycota; Agaricomycetes; Polyporales; Polyporaceae
Description: eukaryotic LSU rRNA
Rfam family: 5.8S ribosomal RNA (bases 241-394)
Source: RNAcentral
GACGGGUAAGAGACGCCCUUUUUGAGACUAUCACCUCGUAUCGAAGUGACCUGAAUCUGGUUCUUUUAGACAUGUGCACACUCUGCUCAAUCCACUCUACACCUGUGCACUUAUUGUAGGCCUUGUAUGUGAAGAUGGGCAUUAAUGUCUGUUGGAAUCAUCUUGGCUUAUGUUUAUUAUAAACUCAUUAUAAAGUAUUAGAAUGUCUAUUAUGGAUGUGUAAUGCAUCUUUAUAUAUAUAACUUUCAGCAACGGAUCUCUUGGCUCUCGCAUCGAUGAAGAACGCAGCGAAAUGCGAUAAGUAAUGUGAAUUGCAGAAUUCAGUGAAUCAUCGAAUCUUUGAACGCACCUUGCGCUCCUUGGUAUUCCGAGGAGCAUGCCUGUUUGAGUGUCAUGAAAUUCUCAACCUAUCAUCCUUUGCGGGAUUUGUUAGGAUUGGACUUGGAGGCAUUUGUCGGUUGCAUGACUGGCUCCUCUUAAAUGCAUUAGCUUGAUUCCUUGUGGAUUGGCUGUUGGUGUGAUAAUGUCUACGCCGCAACCAUAAAACAUUUUUGGAUAAGCUUCUAAUUGUGUCUUUGAUACUUUUAAUGAUCUCUCUGACCUCAAAUCAGGUAGGACUACCCGCUGAACUUAAGCAUAUCAAUAAGCGGAGGAA